Molecule: ribosomal RNA, 339 nt
Filed under: Anodonthyla boulengerii (Boulenger's climbing frog)
Lineage: Eukaryota; Metazoa; Chordata; Amphibia; Anura; Microhylidae
Description: partial 16S ribosomal RNA
Rfam family: Bacterial large subunit ribosomal RNA
Source: RNAcentral
GUCUCCCCCCUUCAAUCAGUGAAACUGAUCCCCUCGUGAAGAAGCGAGGAUGAUCAUAUAAGACGAGAAGACCCCAUGGAGCUUUAAACUUGCACCACUGCCUUGCACCUUCACCUAAACAUCACGGCAUCCUGGCAACAAGUCUUUCGGCUGGGGCGACCACGGAGAAAAACAAAACCUCCAUGAUGAAAGGAACCCCCUAAUCAAAGGGCUACCACCCUAAGAAUCAAUAAAUUGACACAUUGACCCAAACAUUUUGAUCAACGAACCAAGUUACCCUGGGGAUAACAGCGCAAUCCAUUUCGAGAGACCCUAUCAACAAAUGGGCUUACGACCUCG